Molecule: long non-coding RNA, 3769 nt
Organism: Phoenix dactylifera (date palm)
Lineage: Eukaryota; Viridiplantae; Streptophyta; Magnoliopsida; Arecales; Arecaceae
Source: RefSeq, a predicted model, not a curated record
AGUUUCUGCAUUGUGAUCUCCUUAUCUUCUCCUUUUGCAUGGGUCACCCUGUUAGGUCUAUCUCAGAGUUCUGUGUAGAAUUUGCUAAAUUUCCUUUCAUAUUAUAGAUUGUAAUCUCCAGUGCAAUCAGUUCUUGCAAGUAGGGUUCUUCAAAUCCUGCUGCUUUUUUCUCUUAUGGAGAAAUCGAUCUUUAUCAUGGUUUCUAGGCUUGUGCUAGCUAUUAUAAUAAUACUGCUACUUCUUGAUCUAUCAAUCUUUUUUCUAUGUUUAUUUGUGCGGUUUGCUUGCCUUUUCUUGAAAAUAUGGUGUAUGGAUUCUUGUUCUUUUGACUGUGUAAAAGAGGCUGAUUCUGAAGCUGUUUUGUACUAGUUUCCCCCUCUGUGCAUUGGUCACGAAGGUAGUCCCAACUCUUCAUGAUAAUUUGGUUUUGUCAGAUAUUCAUUUAUAGAAUUUUCCAUCUAUCAUGAAGAAGGGCAGGGAAACAGCACCAUAUCUUGUCAUGUUGGAUAUCUUAAAGGAUGAACAUAUUUUCUUCUCAUUUUCUCUCAAUUUUGGCACUAGAACAAAAAACAAAUUAAAAGUCUCCACCUAAAAGUCUAAUGGUGGAUUUGAUAAUGCUUUGCUGGGGCUUCAUUGUGGCAAGAAAGCAUAAUCAAAGAGCUAUAUUUGCCAGAUAUAGUGGCAAGAAUACUGUUACAUAUGGUGUGCAUUUUAUAAAUUUUCGCAUAUUUUUGUGUUCACUAGUUGAUUUUUUCCAUCUGAAGUUGAUUAUGUGACAUGUUUCUUCUUCAAUUUUACAUUCCUUGCUUGUUGUAUGGUUUCAUCCAUGGUCUGCCAUACCGGUCCAUACGGGCCGGUACGUACCGGUCCGGCCUGGGACCGGUACCGGAUCAGCGUGAAAUCCGGUACUGGUAAUUUAUUGUUGAAGAACCGGUACGGGACCGGUACGGGAUCGGUACGGACCGGUACGCCACCAGUACGGAUCGGUAUGGAACUGGUUUCGUACCGGUCCGGGACGCCACCGAUACGCCGACCGGUACCGGUACGGCGGACCUUGGUUUCAUCUGCUUGUUAAAAUUAACAUUGAGGUUUAUGGUAGAUAUUUUUGCAGCACCAAAGAAGGCUGAACUUUCUUUUAAGAAUAAGGUACAUUUUCUUGAUGAUUGCCUUGUUUUUUAGUCUCAUCUAAGUGUGGUUGUGGUAAAUAUCAUUUGCAAGCUGUACUGGUCCAAAGAGGAACCAUAUUAGUUGUCAAUAGUCUGAUGUGACUUCUAAGGCCCCUGAUUGUGAACAGGUGGAUACACUUGCUUUCUCUAAACCUCUGCAUGUCGCUGAACCAAUGUUUUCUGCUCAUCCUAUAUAAAGUUAUGUGCCAUAUAUCUUUUUAUUCUGAUUGAAACUUGAUCCGAUCAGGAAUAAGAAAAAAAUUACUUCAAUCAGCUUAACUUGCUUUUUUUAAAACAAAUUAGAAAAUAGAAAAAUUGAUGAAAAUAGGAUUUAGGUCCCCUUUUCUUUUAUUUGAAUCCUCCAAAACUGAGUUACAAGACCUCUAUUCAUACUAAUAAGAUUCAUCAUUACACAAUCCAAGUUGCAUUCAUUUUCUAGACACAACUAUUGAAAAUAACCAUGGAAAAGCUAAAAUUAUAUAGGAGUUAGAUCUCAACUUCUACAUCAAUUUUAUUUUCAGCUGCUUCUACUCCUAAUUCUUCUUGGAUUGAGAGAUGCGCCUGGUCAAAGCCUGCCUCAAAAGAUUUUUUUCUUUUACUUUGAUCAAUUCAUUUUGAGGCUCAAAUGAUGAAUUUUUCUCUUGAUUGCUAGGUAUAGUAAGCCCUUUAGAAGUUGGCGUAGCUCGUAGAUCUUUAAAAGUUGCAAUAUCUCAAAGUAAAAAAGAACCUCAAUUGGACAUCGUGGAAGUAACUUUGGUUUUGGAAGUUUGAUAUACAAUUCUUUUUUCUAAUAUGGCGGAUCUCGCACCCAGACCUUGUCUAUACCAUCAGUGGUCCAUGCUAAGUUUGGUGAUGCUCCUAGACACCACCACUUAGAACCAUAGUCAUAAGUUUAUGGAUUCGAGAACAAUUCAUCUAGAUGUAAUGAUUCAUAAUUUGGGAAAAAUCUGAAAAAUUCCUAAAAAUGUUCUGAAAAAGUUUGAAUACCAAAAAUUAGAAAAGAAUAAUUUUAAUAUAUGGGCUUUAUAAAAUAUUUGUAUAUUUAUCUACCCAAAAACAAGUAUAGAGGUGCAAAAUUAACAAAUGAUAACAAAAAAUCACUGUUAGCAAAAAUAUAUAGUAUCAUUAAUUUAUAACAUAUAAAAAUUUCUUAAAUUAGUCACAAAAAAAUUCAUGCAUAAUUUGAGAAUAAUUAAAUAGUUUUGGACCAACUUGUUUUUGAAGAUGAAUUCAGAGAAUUAUUCGGUUAAGAGAAAAUUGAGAAUAAUUCCAGAACUUUUCAAUAAUUCAGAAAAUAUUGUGACUAUGCCUAGGACCACAUCCAAAGCUACUCCCUUGUCCACCAUAGUAAGCCUAAAGUCUUCUAUGGUUGAGAGCAGCCAGAUACUUUACCAAGAUGAUUUUAUCUGGCCAGUAGAUCCACUUAUUCUACUGUGACAUUUCAAAUUAGAAUGUAAGCAAUUGACUGAUGUUUUCGGAAAAAGAUCAUGACUAAAUGCUUCAAAGUUUGAAAUUACAUUCUCUUUAAGGUGUUGUUGCUGGGAAUCUUGUUAAUUGGAGAUCUCUUGUAACCUCCAAGUGAAUUGUUUAUAGAGAUGCAAAUGAUGUUGCUUCUAGGUUCUCUAAGUCAUCAUGGAUAUCUUCUUCCAGUUCACACCAAGGCAAUAAGGUGUUGUUAAAAUCUCCCUGCUUAUCAUAUAGUAGUUUCUGCAGCAUGUCAGCUGACUUAACUGGUAAAUGUCCCUUGACGGCCUUGAUGAAGAAAACUGGCUGCAGAAACUACUUUGUCAGCUGGUUCAGUAUUGAAAACCUCACUGAGAGCCUGUAAUAGUAAGUUUGGGUUAAUAAAUGCAAGUAAUCUGAUCGUAUAUCAGAAGUCUGCAUUGAAGUUCCCUUCAUGUGUCUUUCCUGACAGUUUAUUUCUUUAGGUUCAGAAUCAUCUUCAAUAACUUCUGCUACAAAGUCCAAUAAUCGACAAAGAGCUUUGGCAUUGGUUGAUCUUUACUGUGUUGCUAAGUUUUUUUGACCCUAGUAUCCUCAGCCAUCAAACUGCUGAAAACUUUUGACAAGCGGACCCUGCAUUGGAGCUGAAAAAUUCUAGAAACUUUCUAAAAAACCAGCAUCAACAGAGCUUUUUGAUGAACUCCUCUAUCAGCUGAACCAUUAGAUGUGAAUUAUUCUGAAGUAUCUCUGGUGUGAAAUGCCUGACGAGACUAUCAUGAAUUCGAAUGCCUCAAGGAGAAAUCUCUUGUCUGACAUUCUGAUACAUACUCUCGGAUAAUUAAAUUUGCUGACAAACACCUCUGGAUCAAACAACAUUGUUAUGAAGGCCAGCAAGCUUCACCCUGUGAGACCUGCAACAAAAAUUUGACCACGAACAUUGACAACAUAUUGGACUGAAACAUAUAUGGACCUCCAGUAAUAGCAGGAAACCUGCAUAAUUGUAUCAAAUAUUCGAUUCUUCUGAACUAUGUAGAACUCUGAGGAUGAAGGAAAUUCUUCACGAUUUAACCUGUAAACUUUGUAAGUAUUUACUUCCUGUGGUCUGUGAUGACAGCCACAUAGCAGUUGAAGUCACUGAUACAAGUAUUUGUGGUUGGUCA